Molecule: long non-coding RNA, 2544 nt
Organism: Acinonyx jubatus (cheetah)
Lineage: Eukaryota; Metazoa; Chordata; Mammalia; Carnivora; Felidae
Exons: 3
Source: RefSeq, a predicted model, not a curated record
CCAGUAUCACAGACCAGGAGUCACUCCACGUCCCACCCCCGUCCCUAGUUGCCAACAACUCCCAGACAGCUGGGUAGGAACGGAGUGGGGAGGAGAAACACCUGGCUACGUAGGCUCUGUUGCGAGCGCGAGCGCGAGCGCCGCGCUGCUCCAGGCGCAUGCGUCGUCGGGGGGCGGAGCGAGGCACGAAGGGCCGCUCAGGGCGCAGGCCCAGAUCCCUGAGAGGUCGGCAAGGGUGGAUCCCUUCCUCAGAUGCCGGUUUUAUUCCCAACGUCGGGCCUCGGUUUUGUUUCCUCCUUUCGCGUCUUUCCCGGACCCGCGCCCUGUGGAGAGAUUCUCUUCCCCCUUUACCCCCUGUCCGGGCCGCAUCUGGCAGGAGGCUUCUCGGAAGCUGACACAUCAUCCCUAGGUACAAAGAAAUCAGAUUUCAGGAAGAUCAAUUCAAAUAUUUGUUUGGCAUUUAAAGGAAUUUUAAGAAAGAGACAGAGACAAAGCGUGAGCAGAUGAGGGCCAGAGAGAGAGGAGACACACAAUCCAAAGCAGGUUCCAGGCUCUGAGCUGUCAGCACAGACCCUGACACAGGGCUUGAACCCAUCAACUGUGCGAUCAUGACCUGAGCCAAAGUCGGAUGCCCAACGACCGAGCCACCCAGGCACCCCUGGAUUGUAUUGGAAGUGGGAAGCUUGGAGGCAGGAAGACCAGUCACUGGUUCAGGAAGGAGACAGUGGUGGCAUGAACAAAACGGGGGAUGAUUGGAGGAACAAGGAAAGAGAAAUGAAAGAACUUAAGAAAUGUUGAUGGGGUAGAAUCAACAGUUGUUGGGGAUCGAUUAGUGGAAGAAGUCAAGAGCAAAGUACAGUUUUAUGAUUUGGCAACAGGCUGAAAAGUGGGGAUUGAUUGGUGGAAGAAGUCAAGGCAAAGUACAGUUUUUGAUUUGGCAACAGGCUGAAAAAGUGGGGAAAAGACCCUGGAGGGAUGAAGAUCUUUGGUGUGGUCUAGGGUUGAGGAGGGGAAAAUCGUGAAUGCGAUGUUUAGACAUGUUUCAGUCUGAGGUAUCUUUUGAGAUGUUUAAGGGACCUGGAUAGGUGACUGGAUUUACAAAUCUGGAGCUCAGAGAAAAUAUACAUCAAAUAUACAUAUUUGUGGAUCAUCUAUAUGUAGGUGGUUUUUAAGAACCAAUGGGCAUGGAUGAGAUAGUCUAGAGAGAAAGCAUAGAGUGGGAAAAGAAGAGGAGCUAUGCUGUGCCUUAAGUAACUCCAACAUUGAAUAGUUAGAUAGAAGAGAAUAAUUCUACAAAAAAUUGAGAAGUGGCCAGGGAAAGAGGAGGGAAACUAGGGUACAGUGUCUCAAGAACAAGGAAGUUCUCCAUCAAAUUUGUUGCUGAAAUGAGAAUUGGAAAUGUCCAUUGAGUAAAAGAGUAACACGGAACUUAAAUUUUAUUGUUAACUAGAGCGGUUUAGAGAAGGGGGUAAAUCCCAGAUUGAAGUGGGUGGAGGAGGAAGUAGAAGGUGAGAAAAACAAAGCUAAUGAAUAUAGACUAUUCUUUAGAGCAGUUUGGCUGUGCAGUGAGGAGGGAGAGGCUAAUACAGAUGGUCCCUGACUUCCAAUGGUGUGACUAAGGAGUUUUUGACUUUAUAAUGGUGCUAAAACAGUAUGCAUUUAGUGGAAACCAAACAUCAGUUUGAAUUUUUAUCUUAUCCCAGGCUAAUAAUAUGUGGUCCAGUUCUGUCAUGAUGCUGGAUAGGGGCAGUGAGCCACAGCUCCUGGUCAGCCACACCAUCACAAGGGUAAAAAACUGAUACACUUACAACCAUCUCUACCCAUACAAUCACUGUGUUUCUUGCUUUCAAUACAGUAUUCAAUGAAUUACAUGAGAUAUUUAGCACUUUAUUACAAUAUAGGUUUUGUGGGAGAUAAUUUUGCCCAGCUGUAGGUUAAUGUAAGUGUUCUGAGAUUAUUUAAGGUAGGCUGGGCCAAGGUAUGGUGUUCAGUUCAUUAAGGGUAUUAAAUGCAUUUUUGACUUCCAGUAUUUUUGACCUGGGGUGGAUUUAACCCCAUUUUAAGUGGAAGAUCUGUAGUUGGAUAAUGAUAUGGGAACAAGGGAGAGUUUUUUCAAGAUGGGAGUAUACUGAGUAAGUUAAAAAGCCAAAGAGAAGGAUUCAAUCGAAGAGAAGUUUAGAGAGAGCGAAUACUAAAAGUAUACAGUUCUUGAAAAGGUAAGGGGAUAAAAUCCAAAGCUCUGAUAGUGGGGAGGCUGGCCACUAGGAGGCUGACUCAACAGGAGACAGAACAACCUCUAUCUGGUUAACACAAUAGAAGAAGGAAGACAGAAGGGGCGUCUGGGUGGCUCAGUCAGUUAAGCAUCCGACUCUUGGUUUCGACUCAGGUCAUGUUCCUGUGGCUUCAUGGGUCCAAGCCCUAUGUCAGGCUCUGCAGUGGCUGCGUGAAACCUGCUUGGGAUUGUCUCUCUCCCUCUCUCUUCUCUGCCCCUCUCCCAUUCAUGCUGUCUCUCUCUCUCUCUCUCUCUCUCUCUCUCUCUCUCUC